GGGUUGUGAGGUUAAGCGACUAAGCGUACACGGUGGAUGCCCUGGCAGUCAGAGGCGAUGAAGGGCGUGCUAAUCUGCGAUAAGCGCCGGUAAGGUGAUAUGAACCGUUAUAACCGGCGAUACCCGAAUGGGGAAACCCAGUGUGAUUCGUCACACUAUCAUUAACUGAAUCCAUAGGUUAAUGAGGCGAACCGGGGGAACUGAAACAUCUAAGUACCCCGAGGAAAAGAAAUCAACCGAGAUUCCCCCAGUAGCGGCGAGCGAACGGGGAGGAGCCCAGAGCCUGAAUCAGCAUGUGUGUUAGUGGAAGCGUCUGGAAAGGUGCGCGAUACAGGGUGACAGCCCCGUACACAAAAGCGCAUGUGCUGUGAGCUCGAUGAGUAGGGCGGGACACGUGGUAUCCUGUCUGAAUAUGGGGGGACCAUCCUCCAAGGCUAAAUACUCCUGACUGACCGAUAGUGAACCAGUACCGUGAGGGAAAGGCGAAAAGAACCCCGGCGAGGGGAGUGAAAAAGAACCUGAAACCGUGUACGUACAAGCAGUGGGAGCACCCUUCGGGGUGUGACUGCGUACCUUUUGUAUAAUGGGUCAGCGACUUAUAUUCUGUAGCAAGGUUAACCGUAUAGGGGAGCCGGAGGGAAACCGAGUCUUAACCGGGCGUUAAGUUGCAGGGUAUAGACCCGAAACCCGGUGAUCUAGCCAUGGGCAGGUUGAAGGUUGGGUAACACUAACUGGAGGACCGAACCGACUAAUGUUGAAAAAUUAGCGGAUGACCUGUGGCUGGGGGUGAAAGGCCAAUCAAACCGGGAGAUAGCUGGUUCUCCCCGAAAGCUAUUUAGGUAGCGCCUCGUGAAUUCAUCUCCGGGGGUAGAGCACUGUUUCGGCUAGGGGGCCAUCCCGGCUUACCAACCCGAUGCAAACUGCGAAUACCGGAGAAUGUUAUCACGGGAGACACACGGCGGGUGCUAACGUCCGUCGUGAAGAGGGAAACAACCCAGACCGCCAGCUAAGGUCCCAAAGUCAUGGUUAAGUGGGAAACGAUGUGGGAAGGCCCAGACAGCCAGGAUGUUGGCUUAGAAGCAGCCAUCAUUUAAAGAAAGCGUAAUAGCUCACUGGUCGAGUCGGCCUGCGCGGAAGAUGUAACGGGGCUAAACCAUGCACCGAAGCUGCGGCAGCGAACGUAUCACCCAAGACAACUUUACGGAGUUGACGAUUGACGGAGCGAAGCGACGUCAAAGCGUUCAUUAAAGUCGAGUUGGCUUAGGGAUACGUUCGUUGGGUAGGGGAGCGUUCUGUAAGCCUGUGAAGGUGUGUCGUGAGGCAUGCUGGAGGUAUCAGAAGUGCGAAUGCUGACAUAAGUAACGAUAAAGCGGGUGAAAAGCCCGCUCGCCGGAAGACCAAGGGUUCCUGUCCAACGUUAAUCGGGGCAGGGUGAGUCGACCCCUAAGGCGAGGCCGAAAGGCGUAGUCGAUGGGAAACGGGUUAAUAUUCCCGUACUUGGUGUUACUGCGAAGGGGGGACGGAGAAGGCUAUGUUGGCCGGGCGACGGUUGUCCCGGUUUAAGCGUGUAGGUGUGUGUUCCAGGUAAAUCCGGUUCACUUUAACACUGAGGCGUGACGACGAGGCACUACGGUGCUGAAGCAACAAAUGCCCUGCUUCCAGGAAAAGCCUCUAAGCAUCAGGUAACACGAAAUCGUACCCCAAACCGACACAGGUGGUCAGGUAGAGAAUACCAAGGCGCUUGAGAGAACUCGGGUGAAGGAACUAGGCAAAAUGGUGCCGUAACUUCGGGAGAAGGCACGCUGACACGUAGGUGAAGUGAUUUACUCAUGGAGCUGAAGUCAGUCGAAGAUACCAGCUGGCUGCAACUGUUUAUUAAAAACACAGCACUGUGCAAACACGAAAGUGGACGUAUACGGUGUGACGCCUGCCCGGUGCCGGAAGGUUAAUUGAUGGGGUCAGCGCAAGCGAAGCUCCUGAUCGAAGCCCCGGUAAACGGCGGCCGUAACUAUAACGGUCCUAAGGUAGCGAAAUUCCUUGUCGGGUAAGUUCCGACCUGCACGAAUGGCGUAAUGAUGGCCAGGCUGUCUCCACCCGAGACUCAGUGAAAUUGAACUCGCUGUGAAGAUGCAGUGUACCCGCGGCAAGACGGAAAGACCCCGUGAACCUUUACUAUAGCUUGACACUGAACAUUGAGCCUUGAUGUGUAGGAUAGGUGGGAGGCUUUGAAGUGUGGACGCCAGUCUGCAUGGAGCCGACCUUGAAAUACCACCCUUUAAUGUUUGAUGUUCUAACGUGGACCCGUAAUCCGGGUUGCGGACAGUGUCUGGUGGGUAGUUUGACUGGGGCGGUCUCCUCCUAAAGAGUAACGGAGGAGCACGAAGGUUGGCUAAUCCUGGUCGGACAUCAGGAGGUUAGUGCAAUGGCAUAAGCCAGCUUGACUGCGAGCGUGACGGCGCGAGCAGGUGCGAAAGCAGGUCAUAGUGAUCCGGUGGUUCUGAAUGGAAGGGCCAUCGCUCAACGGAUAAAAGGUACUCCGGGGAUAACAGGCUGAUACCGCCCAAGAGUUCAUAUCGACGGCGGUGUUUGGCACCUCGAUGUCGGCUCAUCACAUCCUGGGGCUGAAGUAGGUCCCAAGGGUAUGGCUGUUCGCCAUUUAAAGUGGUACGCGAGCUGGGUUUAGAACGUCGUGAGACAGUUCGGUCCCUAUCUGCCGUGGGCGCUGGAGAACUGAGGGGGGCUGCUCCUAGUACGAGAGGACCGGAGUGGACGCAUCACUGGUGUUCGGGUUGUCAUGCCAAUGGCACUGCCCGGUAGCUAAAUGCGGAAGAGAUAAGUGCUGAAAGCAUCUAAGCACGAAACUUGCCCCGAGAUGAGUUCUCCCUGAGACUUAGAGUCUCCUGAAGGAACGUUGAAGACGACGACGUUGAUAGGCCGGGUGUGUAAGCGCAGCGAUGCGUUGAGCUAACCGGUACUAAUGAACCGUGAGGCUUAACCUUACAACGCCGAAG
Molecule: ribosomal RNA, 3011 nt
Filed under: Salmonella enterica
Lineage: Bacteria; Pseudomonadati; Pseudomonadota; Gammaproteobacteria; Enterobacterales; Enterobacteriaceae
Also listed under: 7 other names
Description: bacterial LSU rRNA
Rfam family: Bacterial large subunit ribosomal RNA
Source: RNAcentral